Molecule: long non-coding RNA, 906 nt
Organism: Mugil cephalus (flathead mullet)
Lineage: Eukaryota; Metazoa; Chordata; Actinopteri; Mugiliformes; Mugilidae
Exons: 3
Source: RefSeq, a predicted model, not a curated record
CAUCAGUUAGCCGCUAGCUUGUCUGGGAAAAUUCCAUUCAGUUAUCUUCUGACUGACAUCUGACAUCACUGCAGCAUUGAAGGACUUUCCCUUGUAGCUCUGUGACAAUCAGGAGAAGCUCUUCAGGAACUGUCUUGACACUGGCCCAGAAGAGGAGCAGACGAAGGGCCUCAUUGUGGGUAUCCUCACUGUAUUGGAGGAUGACGGUGCGUCCCUGCAUUGUGUCCUGAGUGUUGCAGUUGUUGUGGAAGACGAGAGUGUCCUUCAAGAUCUGACUGACUCCAAAAAACAGCUUUUGCUUACCUCUUUGGACUGAUCUGUGCUUUAAACAUGAAGAAGGUUAGGAGGGUUUUCAUGGAACUUGGUACAGACCUCUCUGCAAGAGUCAGAUCCCUCAAAAACAAACUCCUCCAGUGAAUCCACGAGAACUGAUAAUGUUGGAUCUGGAAUUGUUGACCUCUAAAAGUUCCCUUCUGUCCAGCCAUCAUCAUGUUAAUUUAUUCUUCCUGUUUCUCACUCCCGCUGGAUUGCAUUACAUAUUACUUACAUAUUUUACACUUUAUUGGGUUUUUCUUGAACAUGUUACAUGUUAAGAUGUUUGUAAAUGUUGUCACAUGGUAUUGAGCAGUGUUACAAAAACAUUUGCUUAUUUUGAGACUGGAAGUUCUGGCGCUCAGUAACCUUGUUAACAGCUUUAUUAGAUUCAUAGUUGUGUGUCAUAGUUGUUCUGUAUGGUCUUGUGUACAUGACUCAUGUUUGAUCUUUUAUCUUGGUUUAGAUUACUCAGUCUCAAAGUUUGGAAGUAUGCAAUGUAGCGCAAAUUGACUGCCAUUACUGGGACAAUUGGGUCUCAUUGGUUUGCAGCUAAUUUGAUGCAGCUUCAGUUUAAAUAAAACAAAUGUUUUG